Molecule: ribosomal RNA, 992 nt
Filed under: Escherichia coli
Lineage: Bacteria; Pseudomonadati; Pseudomonadota; Gammaproteobacteria; Enterobacterales; Enterobacteriaceae
Description: partial 23S ribosomal RNA
Rfam family: Bacterial large subunit ribosomal RNA
Source: RNAcentral
GGUUAAGCGACUAAGCGUACACGGUGGAUGCCCUGGCAGUCAGAGGCGAUGAAGGACGUGCUAAUCUGCGAUAAGCGUCGGUGAGGUGAUAUGAACCGUUAUAACCGGCGAUUUCCGAAUGGGGAAACCCAGUGUGUUUCGACACACUAUCAUUAACUGAAUCCAUAGGUUAAUGAGGCGAACCGGGGGAACUGAAACAUCUAAGUACCCCGAGGAAAAGAAAUCAACCGAGAUUCCCCCAGUAGCGGCGAGCGAACGGGGAGGAGCCCAGAGCCUGAAUCAGUGUGUGUGUUAGUGGAAGCGUCUGGAAAGGCGUGCGAUACAGGGUGACAGCCCCGUACACAAAAAUGCACAUAUUGUGAGCUCGAUGAGUAGGGCGGGACACGUGGUAUCCUGUCUGAAUAUGGGGGGACCAUCCUCCAAGGCUAAAUACUCCUGACUGACCGAUAGUGAACCAGUACCGUGAGGGAAAGGCGAAAAGAACCCCGGCGAGGGGAGUGAAAAAGAACCUGAAACCGUGUACGUACAAGCAGUGGGAGCCUCUUAAUGGGGUGACUGCGUACCUUUUGUAUAAUGGGUCAGCGACUUAUAUUCUGUAGCAAGGUUAACCGAAUAGGGGAGCCGAAGGGAAACCGAGUCUUAACUGGGCGUUAAGUUGCAGGGUAUAGACCCGAAACCCGGUGAUCUAGCCAUGGGCAGGUUGAAGGUUGGGUAACACUAACUGGAGGACCGAACCGACUAAUGUUGAAAAAUUAGCGGAUGACUUGUGGCUGGGGGUGAAAGGCCAAUCAAACCGGGAGAUAGCUGGUUCUCCCCGAAAGCUAUUUAGGUAGCGCCUCGUGAAUUCAUCUCCGGGGGUAGAGCACUGUUUCGGCAAGGGGGUCAUCCCGACUUACCAACCCGAUGCAAACUGCGAAUACCGGAGAAUGUUAUCACGGGAGACACACGGCGGGUGCUAACGUCCGUCGUGAAGAGGGAAACAACCCAGACCG